AAAAAAUUACAUGGAUUAGAACACUUUUCCUUUGAGAGCAAACAUAUUAAAACCAAAGUACUCCCAGGAGCCAGUCAGAGCAUGGAUGAUAUCCCAAGGAACCAAUCAGAAGUCAGAGUAUACACACAUCACCAGCCAAAAGAGCGGGAAAACGCGUUGACCUAGUUGCAGGUCAACGUGGAAUUCACGAUUGUUUUCGACACACCAAUCUUGGAUGAUUGUUUUCAAUCAUACCUCGAGAAAAGUCAUCUCUUCCUCCACAAAUUUUUAUAAGGGUACAAAGCAUAAUCAUAAAUUCGUGAGUUACUCUUACAAAAUAGUUGUAUGCAGCUCAGAUAUUUCUAUCCAAACACCUAUUUCAAAGCCUCUCAAAUUUAUCAUUGAUAAUACUAGCAGACACUGCGCACGCUUGCAUUCUAUUGGUUGAUAACUGCUCGCGCGCUUUCAUCAUUUUGGCUUACAAUUGCUUUAGCACUUCUACCUCAUUGGCUAGUAAUCACGUACGCAAAAAUUCGGUUUGUUACGUCAUAAUCGAUAGAUUUUCUCUCAGUCAAAGCAAUGAUCAAGGCAAAGAGACGUUCUUGAUCAUAAAUUUCUAUAAAACCCUCUUUAAAUUGUUGUACACUGGUAAGAAUUUAAAAUGGGAGUUAGUGUGAGUUAUUACCAAUCCAGGGAAGAAGAUUACACUGAGGCAAAAAGUAAUACAUGUAGAAAAUCAAAUCGCUUUUUCCAAAUGAAGAAUAAAGUUCUUCCUUCUGAAAAAACCGUCAAUCUUCAAGAAAUCAAGCUUAAUAUGAGCGAAGAAUGGAAGCUGCCAGAUAAGAAAUAAAGGCCUGCAAUCUGAGCAAAAUAAUUGAAGAGGAGGAUAACGAUGACAAAAACGCAUAUAAACUGUCCACAUGGCUACUGAUACUUCUAAGGUAACUCAAGUAGCUACAAAGUAAAGUUAUAAAGGCACAACAACGAUUCU
Molecule: long non-coding RNA, 970 nt
Filed under: Stylophora pistillata
Lineage: Eukaryota; Metazoa; Cnidaria; Anthozoa; Scleractinia; Pocilloporidae
Description: uncharacterized LOC111334129, transcript variant X2
Source: RNAcentral